Non-coding RNA from Potamilus streckersoni, 73 nucleotides. The record is from the annotation of a GenBank genome assembly. NCBI's taxonomy places the organism in Eukaryota, Metazoa, Mollusca, Bivalvia, Unionida, Unionidae.
GCUCCGGUAGCCUAGUGGUUAGAGCGUCCGCCUCGGAUGCGGGAGGUUGCAGGUUCGAUUCCAGACCGAGUCA